Molecule: ribosomal RNA, 228 nt
Filed under: uncultured bacterium
Lineage: Bacteria
Description: partial 16S ribosomal RNA
Rfam family: Bacterial small subunit ribosomal RNA
Source: RNAcentral
CGGGUGAGUAAUGCUUGGGAAUCUAGCUUAUGGAGGGGGAUAACUACGGGAAACUGUAGCUAAUACCGCGUAAUAUCGAAAGAUUAAAGUGUGGGACCUUCGGGCCACAUGCCAUAGGAUGAGCCCAAGUGGGAUUAGGUAGUUGGUGAGGUAAAGGCUCACCAAGCCGACGAUCUCUAGCUGGUCUGAGAGGAUGACCAGCCACACUGGAACUGAGACACGGUCCAG